GUUAUCCUACGGGAGGCAGCAGUGGGGAAUAUUGCACAAUGGGGGAAACCCUGAUGCAGCAACGCCGCGUGAAGGAAGACGGUUUUCGGAUUGUAAACUUCUUUUAUCAAGGACGAAACAAAUGACGGUACUUGAUGAAUAAGCCACGGCUAACUACGUGCCAGCAGCCGCGGUAAUACGUAGGUGGCAAGCGUUAUCCGGAUUUACUGGGUGUAAAGGGCGUGUAGGCGGGACUGCAAGGCAGAUGUGAAAACCAUGGGCUCAACCCAUGGCCUGCAUUUGAAACUGUAGUUCUUGAGUGUUGG
This 305-nucleotide ribosomal RNA is filed under the name uncultured bacterium. RNAcentral describes it as "bacterial SSU rRNA". It matches the Rfam family "Bacterial small subunit ribosomal RNA", at positions 333 to 652 of the family's 1533-position model. The record is from RNAcentral.